AGAGUUUGAUUCUGGCUCAGGAUGAACGCUAGCGGCAGGCUUAACACAUGCAAGUCGAGGGGCAUCGCGGGGUAGCAAUACUCUGGCGGCGACCGGCGAAAGGGUGAGUAACGCGUGAGCAACAUGCCCGGUACUGGGGGAUAGUCAUUGGAAACGAUGCGUAAUACCCCGUAACAACAGAGUCCGCAUGGUCUUUGUUUGAGAGAUUCAUUGAUACCGGAUUGGCUCGCGUACCAUUAGCUAGUUGGCGGGGUAACGGCCCACCAAGGCGACGAUGGUUAGGGGUUCUGAGAGGAAGGUCCCCCACAUUGGAACUGAGACACGGUCCAGACUCCUACGGGAGGCAGCAGUGAGGAAUAUUGGACAAUGGCCGGGAGGCUGAUCCAGCCAUGCCGCGUGCGGGGAAGGACGGCCCUAUGGGUUGUAAACCGCUUUUGUCAGGGAGCAAUAAGGUCCACGUGUGGUCCGAUGAGAGUACCUGGCGAAUAAGCAUCGGCUAACUCCGUGCCAGCAGCGGC
This 518-nucleotide ribosomal RNA is filed under the name uncultured bacterium. RNAcentral's name for it is "bacterial SSU rRNA". It matches the Rfam family "Bacterial small subunit ribosomal RNA", at positions 8 to 518 of the family's 1533-position model. The record is from RNAcentral.